This 306-nucleotide ribosomal RNA is filed under the name uncultured bacterium. RNAcentral's name for it is "bacterial SSU rRNA". It matches the Rfam family "Bacterial small subunit ribosomal RNA", at positions 28 to 334 of the family's 1533-position model. The record is from RNAcentral.
GACGAACGCUGGCGGCGUGCUUAACACAUGCAAGUCGAACGGAAGUUAAGUUUCGAAUUUAACUUUAGUGGCGAACGGGUGAGUAACGCGUGAGGAACCUGCCUUUCAGUGGGGGACAACAGUUGGAAACGACUGCUAAUACCGCAUGACACCAUAGUACCGCAUGGUACAGUGGUCAAAGAUUUAUUGCUGAAAGAUGGUCUCGCGUCUGAUUAGCUAGUUGGUGAGGUAACGGCUCACCAAGGCGACGAUCAGUAGCCGACCUGAGAGGGUGACCGGCCACAUUGGGACUGAGACACGGCCCAA